RNAcentral lists this ribosomal RNA (549 nucleotides) under Penicillium polonicum. Its description in RNAcentral is "eukaryotic LSU rRNA". The stretch from base 180 to 332 matches the Rfam family "5.8S ribosomal RNA". The record is from RNAcentral. Lineage: Eukaryota; Fungi; Ascomycota; Eurotiomycetes; Eurotiales; Aspergillaceae.
GGUAUCAGCGUGAGGUCAUUUGGGUCCACCUCCCACCCGUGUUUAUUUUACCUUGUUGCUUCGGCGGGCCCGCCUUUACUGGCCGCCGGGGGGCUCACGCCCCCGGGCCCGCGCCCGCCGAAGACACCCCCGAACUCUGUCUGAAGAUUGAAGUCUGAGUGAAAAUAUAAAUUAUUUAAAACUUUCAACAACGGAUCUCUUGGUUCCGGCAUCGAUGAAGAACGCAGCGAAAUGCGAUACGUAAUGUGAAUUGCAAAUUCAGUGAAUCAUCGAGUCUUUGAACGCACAUUGCGCCCCCUGGUAUUCCGGGGGGCAUGCCUGUCCGAGCGUCAUUGCUGCCCUCAAGCCCGGCUUGUGUGUUGGGCCCCGUCCUCCGAUUCCGGGGGACGGGCCCGAAAGGCAGCGGCGGCACCGCGUCCGGUCCUCGAGCGUAUGGGGCUUUGUCACCCGCUCUGUAGGCCCGGCCGGCGCUUGCCGAUCAACCCAAAUUUUUAUCCAGGUUGACCUCGGAUCAGGUAGGGAUACCCGCUGAACUUAAGCAUAUCAAAA